This 292-nucleotide RNase P RNA is filed under the name Candidatus Veblenbacteria bacterium. Its description in RNAcentral is "RNase P RNA component class A". It matches the Rfam family "Bacterial RNase P class A". Rfam says of the family: Ribonuclease P (RNase P) is a ubiquitous endoribonuclease, found in archaea, bacteria and eukarya as well as chloroplasts and mitochondria. Its best characterised activity is the generation of mature 5'-ends of tRNAs by cleaving the 5'-leader elements of precursor-tRNAs. Cellular RNase Ps are ribonucleoproteins. Lineage: Bacteria; Candidatus Vebleniibacteriota. The record is from RNAcentral.
ACGUCAACCCAGGUGAUUGCUCCGUAUUUUACGGAGAGGAAAGUCCGAACACCACAGUGUUCCCGCUAAUUUAAGGGAAGGGUAACUCCUAANNACGGUGAGGUAAGAGCUCACCAGUAUCUAUGGCAACAUUGAUGGCUAGGUAAACUCUACCCGGUGCAAUACCAAGUAGGUCCGCAUCUUGGCGGACGGGUUGGUAGCUUGAAUCCUGGUGCGAAUCAGGAUCUAGAUAGAUAAUCACCGCCCUGCCUCGCGCAGGGUACAGAAUUCGGCUUAUAAGGUUGAGGUGAGC